AAUGAACGCUGGCGGCGUGCCUAAUACAUGCAAGUCGAGCGAAGCGGGGACGGGUGAGUAACACGUGGAAAACCGCCUAUAGGACGGGGAAAACAUCGGGAAACCGGGGCUAAACCGGAUAGUUAUCAAUGGGUACGCGCUGCAUUGGCGGGUUGGGAAGGUAACGGCUGACCAAGGCAACGAUGCCUAGCCGACCUGAGAGGGUGACCGGCCACACUGGAACUGAGACACGGUCCAGACUCCUACGGGAGGCAGCAGUAGGGAAUCUUCCGCAAUGGGCGAAAGCCUGACGGAGCCACGCCGCGUGAGUGAUGAAGGUCUUCGGAUCGUAAAACACUGUUAUCAGGGAAGCGGUACCUAAUCAGAAAGCCACGGCUAACUACGUGCCAGCAGCCGCGGUAAUUC
RNAcentral lists this ribosomal RNA (405 nucleotides) under uncultured bacterium. Its description in RNAcentral is "partial 16S ribosomal RNA". It matches the Rfam family "Bacterial small subunit ribosomal RNA", at positions 29 to 526 of the family's 1533-position model. The record is from RNAcentral.